Canis lupus familiaris (dog) is the source of this 3790-nucleotide long non-coding RNA. RefSeq lists it as uncharacterized. Lineage: Eukaryota; Metazoa; Chordata; Mammalia; Carnivora; Canidae. The record is from RefSeq and is a predicted model, not a curated record. The transcript is spliced from 7 exons.
CCCAGAGAGUCAAGUGCUGGCAAAAAUGCAAAUGGGGAUCUGCAGAAGGAAUAGAGACAUAAUUCAUACUAAUUUCCGCGAAAAGUUACAUGAGGCCUUUAAGAGUACAAAUCAUGCCUCCCCUGGUUCUGCAGACUUACUCGUUCAGCUCUUAUCUAUCGGGCGCUUCCUGUGCGCCAGGUGUGAGGUGGAUACCAGGAUCGAUCGUGAAUGAUACAGUGUUUGCCCUCGACAGCAUUCGACACGAAGGUCGAGUGACCGAUUCAGGCUCACACAGCUAGAGAGCAUUAAAUCCCGGGCUGUCCCCGGGGGCCGGUCCCCCUAGUGCCUGCCAACCAAGUGCCUCAUUGACUUCUGGAGUUGUCAGCCGUGCUUACUUUUAGUAAUCAUGGCUUUAAGAGACAACAUUUUCUUUGGGUGCCUAUCUCCGUUUAAGUUAGAGUUGUGAUUUCUGAGGGAUUUGCCGUAGUUUACCCUAAGAUUCCCCUUUAUGUGUUAAGGAAAGCUUUCUUACAGAUUCGAUUCAGCUCUUCUCUCUUCAUUGGGGCAGAUAUGAUCUGUGCUAUUGUGUUGUAGUUGCAUUCCUAAGAAGUCACUCUGAAUUAAAAAAAUCACUUUAAAAUAAUUAUUUCAGAAAGCAAAUAUGGGAUUUGGGUCUGGAGCAUUCAGACUCACAAUAAUAGAGUAAUUUUGCCUGGAGGCAUUUCAAUAAUACUGGUGUUUUUAUAGCUUUAAGUCUAUAGUUAUAAAGCUAAACAUCCCUAAGAAAAAUCCAGCCUCAAUGACAUCUAGCUUUUGAUCAAGAGGAAUGGCCUUUGUUUUUCGAUCCUCACCAAGACCAUCAUUGGCGCAAGGCUUCUUAGCCAUUUUUAUCACAUUUUUCACCCAUUGUUGGAUAAACAUAUCCCGAAGUUACUCAAACAAAGCAGCUGACACAGCAAGUUUCUUCCUCUUUGUCUGAGAUAAUGUUAGUUCUUGCAUUACAACCAUGUGUGUAAUGAAAAUCAUGUGUCUCAUUAUUUACUCAACAAGUGUUUUCCGAGGCCGACAUGGUCAGGCACUGAAUAAGGCCUGGGGAUGUAGUGGUAAGCAAGACAGACAAGUCCCUGUUGCCAUGGAGCUUGCAUUCCAAUCGAGGAGAUGGUCCAUGAACAGGUAAAUACACAAUAUGACGUCAUUUGGUGUGAAUGGUAUGGAGAAAAAUAAAAUAGAGUACGAGAGGGACCAGUGGCUAGAUCAUGCUGAGCCUUAGGGACAUUGAAAGGACUUUGGAUUUUUUUUGGAAACCAUUAGACGUUUUUGAGCAGAGGGAUGAUGCAGUAGGCUUGAUAUUUUAGGAGGCCUGCUCUGGCUGCCGUAGAACAGACUAUCGAAGGUUAAAGAGGGAUCGUUGGGGAAAAUUAGGAGGUUGUUGCCUAGUCCAGUUUCCUCUCUGAACCUGAAUCUGAGGCAAGGGCUUGUGUGUUGGUCAGUCUGUCUUGGAAAGUGAUCCAAGGGACGUAAGUGGAAGACGAGGAAGUGUUAGGUGAGAAAGAAGGCAAAGUCUACCCAGUUAUGUGGCAGGUGCUGGUGACUUCCAUAGACAACGGACCCUGUCUGUCACCAGGGACCUGUAAAGGCCAGGUGGGGAUACACUGAAUUGUUCAGCCCUCAGCCCUUUGGUGGAGGGUCGCCCACUGGCAUGUUGACUCCCCUGCACUACGAGGUUCGUGCAUGAAGCAGAGUGACGAGCAGCGCCUGCAGUCACCCGCACUCCCAGCAAGAGUUCCUGCGGAAGCAAGAGUUCUGUGGAGCCGUGGGGCCUGAGGAAGGCAGCUCUCCCCAAGAGGCACCCGAUGCAGAAGCUCGCGCAGCAGGAAGGACGGGAGCUUGGGUUUGGGGGGCAGUAGCAAGGUGGUGACAGUGGCCACAUCCAUGGGUUGGACCCAAACUACAUAGUGAAAAUUUGCAUUGGAAUAAGAAGCGUCCGUAUAUCUCCCGGUGCAGCCGGCUGCUGAUCUCGCUCCACCCGCGUCCGUGGUCUUUCCACUCCGUGGUCCUGCCCGCAAGCCCGCACACGCAGCUUUCUGUUUGUCCGCCUCAAAGUUUACCAUUUAGCACAACCAGACUGAUGAGCAAAGAUCUAAUAACCCGCAGACAAGCCUCUUUCGCCUUAUGUGUCUUCUGUGUUUAACACAUUUGACAGAUUGUGGAGGCAGACAAAGGUGAUGGAAGGGGAACUGGCGUGACCUUGCUGCGUCCUUGGGAACUAUACCGCAGAAGAAUGCCCUCUGCUUUAGACAAGCGUCUAAAAGGGUAGAAGACUUACGGACAAGUUUUCGAAAUGUCUGUUUAAAGAUUGAAAAACAAAAGAGUACCCCAGCCCUGGUCACGGUUAUUUAGGUUUCUUGUGUUGGGCUAGUCCAAGGGCAGGAGUAAAACGUUCAUGGCAUGAAACUCAACAUUUUGAAAAGUAAUAUGCAUUGGAGUGUUUCUCAGGAAAAGAAGAACAUCUGUAACUGGUUUCGAGAAAUGUCCUUGCGGAUGAAGGUGCCUAGGAGAGUGAUUCUGGAGAAGGAUAGGCCAAAGGAUGCUGGCAGAAGCCACAGUGAAAACGGAGCUCUCCAAGCAGGAAGAGGCAUCGUCAGCGUGGUCUUCAUCAUCAUCGUCCUCAUCGCUAGCGCCAGCAGACUGAGGAGACCCACCAGACCACUGAGUGCUCCUGGGCAUCACUUACCACGACAAACAUUGCACGCGGCUAAGGAACACGUUCUUUACCCCCAUUUAAUAGAUUAGGAAACCGAAGCUUAGAAUCCCAUGGUUAGUAAGGUGGAGCUGGAAUUCAGAAGAAGAAAUGGAGAUUUUAUUGGAAAGGAGUGGAGUAGAGGUGGGAAGGACUUACCCUGGGGAUCGCUGGAUCACAUCGAAGACUCCUAUCAACCCUCCUCCCAUCAAGGAGUAGGUGCCAGUUCCCAGCCUCUUGAACCUGGUCCUGUGGCCUGCUUCGGCCUGCCACGUCUGAGCCUAGGCCUCGGCAGUCUCAUAUGCUUCCACUCCCUCUCCUGGAAUUCUGCGCAGCUGCUUGCGAAUGCAUUCAGUGGAAAAUGAGACACGACGCAGGACCGAGAUAAUUCCACCGAGGGGAUGCUAGACCAGCCAGCUUCUAAUCCACCGAUGGCUGGCUGCAGAAGAUGUAUGAGCCAAUCCUUCCCAGACCAGGAGAGAGGCCCAGCUUAGCCAAGCGCAAGCUGCUGAGCUCCAGAAUUUUGAGAUGAAUAAAUGGGAACGUAAGACACUCACCUUCCUCGAGGCCGUCUUGGUCUAAUGGAGGAGGCUGGCAAGCGGCGGUGACAGUGUGGUUACUCACUGGGGUCACCGAGGGACCAGAGGUGACUGAGAGCCUAGAGGGCGGACGUCUAACCCAGACCCACUACCCGAAAAAAGAUUCCUGGUGGAGACAACCUCGGAACUGAGCUCUGUGAGAUGCCUACUGAGCCAGAAAAACAAACAGCGCUCCUUGGAUCCACGCAACCUGCAAGAGAACCAAACAGUCUCCACACCCACUUAGAGCCAUGGUGUGAGACAGAGGGCUGUCAAAGGCCAGCCCUGAACUAGAACCAGAUGGGAGAAGAUUCAUGCCAGAGACCAUCAUCCAAACCUCUUGAUUUCCAGUGAUCAGCAGUUGAGUGUUCAGAGAAAGUGCAUUUGAUAGCUUAGUCACAACUGGAUCAACUGAAAUAACAAUGCAAGGAGAAAGAUUUUAUUCAUUCAUUUAUGAAAGACACUCAGAGAGAGGCAGAGACACAGGCGG